UGGGGGAUAUUGCACAAUGGGCGAAAGCCUGAUGCAGCGACGCCGCGUGGGGGAUGAAGGCUUUCGGGUUGUAAACCUCUUUCGCUAUCGAACAAGGCCCGCUUAGGGUGGGUUGAGGGUAGGUGGAGAAGAAGCGCCGGCUAACUACGUGCCAGCAACCGCGGUAAUACGUAGGGCGCGAGCGUUGUCCGGAAUUAUUGGGCGUAAAGGGCUUGUAGGCGGCUUGUUGCGCCUGCUGUGAAAACGCGGGGCUUAACUUCGCGCGUGCAGUGGGUACGGGCAGGCUUGAGUGUGGUAGGGGUGACUGGAAUUCCAGGUGUAGCGGUGGAAUGCGCAGAUAUCUGGAGGAACACCGAUGGCGAAGGCAGGUCACUGGGCCAUUACUGACGCUGAGGAGCGAAAGCAUGGGUAGCGAACAGG
RNAcentral lists this ribosomal RNA (420 nucleotides) under bacterium. RNAcentral's name for it is "partial 16S ribosomal RNA". It matches the Rfam family "Bacterial small subunit ribosomal RNA", at positions 355 to 776 of the family's 1533-position model. The record is from RNAcentral.